RNAcentral lists this ribosomal RNA (250 nucleotides) under uncultured bacterium. RNAcentral describes it as "partial 16S ribosomal RNA". It matches the Rfam family "Bacterial small subunit ribosomal RNA", at positions 524 to 773 of the family's 1533-position model. The record is from RNAcentral.
UACGGAGGGCGCAAGCGUUGUUCGGAAUUACUGGGCGUAAAGCGCGUGUAGGCGGUCUGGCAAGUCGGUUGUGAAAUCCCCGGGCUCAACCCGGGAACUGCAUCCGAAACUGCUGGGCUAGAGUUCCGGAGAGGAAGGCAGAAUUCCCAAUGUAGGGGUGAAAUCCGUAGAUAUUGGGAGGAAUACCAGUGGCGAAGGCGGCCUUCUGGACGGUGACUGACGCUGAGACGCGAAAGCGUGGGGAGCAAAC